UGACAGGUAUUAUAUAGCGCGCUUGCGCGUCUAUUGUUAAAUAUGCUAGUCCUUUCAUGAUUAUGUGAUAGGUGGUGCAUGGCCGUUCUUAGUUCGUGGAGUGAUCUGUCUGCUUAAUUGCGUUUCAGAUAAGGAUCUAUAUUCUUUACAGAAGUGUUGCGUUGUGCGCAUUUGACCCCUCGUUCGCGAGUGNGUGUCUUUUCGCGCUCGCACGCUUUUUACAUUAGGUCCUGAAAGCAACGAACGUGACCGCAACCUCUUGUUGCCUCAUCUCCCUACUUUUUUAGCANUUNGGUGUUGAAUAAUUUCAUUGAGGCUUUCCAAAACUAGAGGGACCGCUGUCAACUUCUUAAACCAGAGGAAGGUUGCGGCAAUAACAGGUCUGUGAUGCCCUUAGAUGUUCCGGGCUGCACACGUGCUACAAUGAUUGUUGCAGUGAGCAUCUCAAUUUUUUACCUUAACACCGCACACGUGAGUACGCAUACUUGUAUGUGUUACUUUACGCAGCGGUAAAGCCUGCUUCGAGAGCAAGUGGGUAAUCAAUUAGAAGUAACGAUUUCCCAAAUUAGCACACUUAUAUGCGGCGUUUGCGCCCGGGUGCCACUUGUUGGUACUUCUGUGCGUGCAGAUGUUUUUUUUCCGCAUGUGCAAUUGUCAAUUCAUGGUGGGGACAGACCAUUGUUAAUUGUUGGUCUCGGUCUUAACUAGGAAUGCCUUGUACGGGUCUUUGGUUCAACAAACCACCCGGAAUACGUCCCUGCCCUUUGUACACACCGCCCGUCGCUCUUAC
RNAcentral lists this ribosomal RNA (790 nucleotides) under Globigerinita glutinata. RNAcentral describes it as "bacterial SSU rRNA". It matches the Rfam family "Eukaryotic small subunit ribosomal RNA", at positions 1241 to 1685 of the family's 1831-position model. The record is from RNAcentral. Lineage: Eukaryota; Foraminifera; Rotaliida; Globigerinitidae.